RNAcentral lists this ribosomal RNA (643 nucleotides) under Fusarium sp. FIESC_22a. RNAcentral describes it as "eukaryotic LSU rRNA". It matches the Rfam family "Eukaryotic large subunit ribosomal RNA", at positions 1 to 654 of the family's 3401-position model. Lineage: Eukaryota; Fungi; Ascomycota; Sordariomycetes; Hypocreales; Nectriaceae. The record is from RNAcentral.
AACUUCUGAAUGUUGACCUCGGAUCAGGUAGGAAUACCCGCUGAACUUAAGCAUAUCAAUAAGCGGAGGAAAAGAAACCAACAGGGAUUGCCCUAGUAACGGCGAGUGAAGCGGCAACAGCUCAAAUUUGAAAUCUGGCUCUCGGGCCCGAGUUGUAAUUUGUAGAGGAUGCUUUUGAUGCGGUGCCUUCCGAGUUCCCUGGAACGGGACGCCAUAGAGGGUGAGAGCCCCGUCUGGUUGGAUGCCAAAUCUCUGUAAAGCUCCUUCGACGAGUCGAGUAGUUUGGGAAUGCUGCUCUAAAUGGGAGGUAUAUGUCUUCUAAAGCUAAAUACCGGCCAGAGACCGAUAGCGCACAAGUAGAGUGAUCGAAAGAUGAAAAGCACUUUGAAAAGAGAGUUAAAAAGUACGUGAAAUUGUUGAAAGGGAAGCGUUUAUGACCAGACUUGGGCUUGGAUAAUCAUCUGGGGUUCUCCCCAGUGCACUUUUCCAGUCCAGGCCAGCAUCAGUUUUCGCCGGGGGAUAAAGGCUUCGGGAAUGUGGCUCUCUCCGGGGAGUGUUAUAGCCCGUUGCGUAAUACCCUGGCGGGGACUGAGGUUCGCGCAUCUGCAAGGAUGCUGGCGUAAUGGUCAUCAACGACCCGUCU